This 3742-nucleotide long non-coding RNA is filed under the name Homo sapiens (human). RNAcentral describes it as "non-protein coding lnc-PLA2R1-1:2". The record is from RNAcentral. Lineage: Eukaryota; Metazoa; Chordata; Mammalia; Primates; Hominidae.
AAAAAAAAAAAAAAAAAUUAAUUUAUAUACAUAUUUUUACUGCAGGAAAAUAUGACAAGGUAAUGAAUAAAAUAUUUCACAAAUUAAAGUAUAUCUCAUUAGGAUAAAAUUCUGUGGGGGAGUUGGAAUGGAAAUACAAGAUUGAAAGAAAGUAAUAUCUCUGACUGCUGAAGAGGUUAUUUCUAUUUUUAAAUAGAUUAUGAUAGAAUUCAAAUUGUUGUAGUAUCUCCAGUCAAAGGAACUUAGGCUUCUUGAGAAAGUGGUUGAUUGCAGGUCUAAGGCAGGAAAAUACAAGAUGAAACUGGAAUAUCUUGUGAUGGCAGAAAAUAAGGAGGUGCUCACAAAAAGAUGGCACAUGUCUGAAGGCUACAGGAACCAACCUGAAGGAGCUCUCCAGUGGAAAUGCUGGAACAAUUUGAGCAAACAAUAAAAAAUUAUAAUAUUGGAUUAUAACCCACACAAUAAAUAUCUGUGUGUCCAUACUGAUGUAAACAAUUGAAUGAGUGAAUGAAUGAAUGAAAAGAAGAAACAGUUCUUCUCCCCAGUAAAUUCCAAUUGAUAAAUGUAGAAGAAAUGGGAGAAACAAAAAUCACUAUCAGGAAAACACAACAGUAAUAAUUGUUGGCAAGACCUACCAGUUGGUGCAAAAGUUAGUGGGUGAAUGUUUGAGGAAAAACAGAAUAUUUGCAUAACCUUAGAGUAUUUUCCCCAAAAUAAUCACUAAUUACAAAGAGAAAGUAAUAACUUUACAGUAGAGAAACUUCUUUAAUCAAGGGAUCAAGGUUAACAGAAGCAGUAAUAAGCCACAUCAGCAUCAUGUACCCCCUGGUAUGGCAUUGAGAAGGGCACAUGACUUCUUUGGUAUCCUCCCCAAAAUGCAUAAUCUCAAUCAUGAAAAAACAUUAGACAAAUCCAAGUUGAGGGACAUUCCACAAGAUAAAUGAUCACUUCAAAAGUGUCCUGGUCAUGAAAGAUAAGGAAAGAUUGAGGAAAUGUCAAGGAUUGGAGGACACUAAAGAGACAUGACAACUACGUGCAAGUUGAAAUCCUCAAAUGGAUCAUGGAACAGAAAAUGGUCAUUAUGGGAAAAUGGGAAAGUAAAAUAAAGUCUAUGGUUUAAUUAAUAGUAUUGUACCAGUAUUAGUUUCUUUGUUUUGAUGAUUAUACCAUGGUUUUAUGAGAUGUACCAUUAGAAGAAGCUGAAGGAGGCUGUACAGGAACUCUCUGGACUAAGUUGGCAAUUUUUCUGUAAACCUAAAAUCAUUUCAAUAUAAAAAGUUAACAUUUUGCUAUGAUAUUAGACACCACUGGAUAUAUUAAAAGGGUGAUAAGGCACUUUUAUUUUUACAUGUUGUUAUUUAUAAUAUUCUGAAAAUUGCAUCCUAAUUAUAAAAAAUUUUGGCUGUCAACUUAGAAAUUCGUGAAGCAAUAUGCCUUCUUUCAUGAUUCUUUUAACAAUUUUGUAUGCUAGCCAAAAAGUUUGAGGACCACUGCUAUAUGACAUUUUUUCUCUCAUGUCUCAGAUGAGAAGCAGGGCAAAACCCUGUGUGUCUCCAACUUACCUAACACACCAUCCGCUGUAGGAUUAGGAGCCAGACACGUCUUGCUGCAGGCCAUGCUCACUUCCAUCUGCUCUCUUUUCCCUGCAUUCUUCUUUUGUGUCACUUCCCUGACUUGUCAGUACUUCUAAUUCUCAUAGUCCUGCUAUCCCCUACAACCUCGUGCCUUAGUAUUAAUAGGGUACAGCAGGGAAAAACUCACUUAGUUUCCAUUUUGUUCUUGGAGAAGAAAAAUUUGGAGACAUUUCCAAAAUGGCAUGUACAUCAUAAUUCUUAUUGCCAACAUUUAUAAGAAACUUUGACUGUAGUGAUUAUCAAGAUACAUGCUUGGAAUAUUUAUUCCCUCUUUCCCCACCUUUCAAAAUAAGGAUUUAGAGCAGGAGUUGGCAGGGCCAAAUCCAGCCUGCAGCCUAUUUUGGAAAUAAAGUUAUUGGGAUGCUGCCAUCCCCAUUCACUCACAUACUGUGCAUGACUGCUUUCAUGCUUCCAUGACAGAGCUGAGUGGUUGCAACAGAGACCGAAUGGCCUGCAAAGCCUAAAAUAUUUACUUUCUGGACCCUUACAGGAAGUUUGCCAACCCCUGAUUUAGAAAGUGAAAACCUAAAUGGGGAAGUCUUACAUACUUUAACGUAUCUUAGCAAGCACUGUUAUGUUAAUGUAUAUGGACAGCACUUAAAAUAUAUCAAUAAACAAUUAUGAUCAGUAAACAUUUAUUUAGAGCCUAUUGUGGCCCAGAGAGUGUCCUGUGCUCAGAGGCUAUAAAUACCAAUAACACCCCAUCUCUCCCCUCAUGGAACUCAGUCUCAGGGGAGAGGAAUAUGUAAAUGAUAAGUGCAAUGCAAUGUGACAUAAAUAAUAUCAAGAAGAAGAGAAUCAGAAAAAAAAGGAGAGGGGACUGAUUAAUUCUGUCAGAAGUAGAGAAAGGCUUAACAAGAUAAGUGAUAUGUAUUAAAUUGUAGGAAAUGUUAGAUAAACAGCUUUCUUUAGUAUUUUUUGAGUUAGAAAGCAAGUUUUUAGCUUGGGGUCAGAAUAUUUUUAGAGAAAAAGUUUAAAAUGUGCCUAAAUCUGAAAUUCUGGAUUUAAAAAAGUGAAAAUCUGCAUGUUCCUCUAAUACCUAAUGACGAAUUCUAAUUGCAGAAGGAUGCCAAUAACUAAAACCACAAAAUGAACCCUAUGUAUACCGGUGACCUUCUUUACUCAGAAUUAAUUAACACAAGCACUUGUUUCUUGCAGAGCACUUUGCUGUAAUUUAGAACAAAUUAAGGGAAAAAAUCAUUCAAGUGCUGUUUUCUUCACACCAUGAAUAUACAGAGCUUGGUAGGAGCUGGAAACCCGACUCACAGAUUUAGGAAACAGUGGGUUCUUGUCCCUGUGGACAUCAGAACUUGGGGGACGGAGAGAUAGAGAACCAGAAGGCAGAACAAGGAAAAACUCAAAGAAAGGAAUGGGGAGGAAUGGAAACGUAACAGGACAUGUUGCCUCAGUGAGUCACCAAGGGCUUUGGAGUUCUUAGCCCAAAAUGUGGUUCUGUGGAGGCUGAGGACAAACUUCAGGACAGAGCAUGCCUUAAUCGAUGUGCUAAGCCACUGGCUCGGGCAGUCCUUAAGCAAGGGCUCCUCUGAUCAGACAAGGAAUUGUUUCCUUCCCUUUUACUCCAGAUGACACCUAAAGGUGCAAAAGAAAACCAUCUCUGCACACUACCAAACAGACAGUGCGUGAACGAAGCAGACCCUCCUGACCACAGCCAAGGACUGGAGAGCUUGGUGAAACUGGUGCUCAAGGUAUACAGGUGAGAGGAGCUGGAAAAUUCAUUGCUGACAUGGAGAAAUACAUGUGUAUCGGGGAAAGGGGGCAGAUAUAAGAAGGAUCAUUUUGGUUUGUUUGAAAAUCACAUAUCAAAGUGUUGAGGAAACAGAAGUUAUCCACAUCGUAUUGCCCAAGUCCUUAUUGCCAUAAAUGUAUUGGACAACAUGGGGCACCACAGGAGUAAUAUGCCUCAGACCAGAUUGGAAAUGGAACGUACCGUGACAUACAACCAACUGUUAUUCUUAACAAAAUAUAGGAUCUAACCAAAUUGUCCAUACUGGGGUCUGGAACAGAUUUUUCCUGGGAGCGAAAAAAGAACACGACCCCAAAUCCACUUCUCGUGUUUUUAUUUUUUAUUUUUUUAUUUUUGUUCGCAC